Long non-coding RNA from Trifolium pratense (red clover), 574 nucleotides. RefSeq lists it as uncharacterized. The record is from RefSeq and is a predicted model, not a curated record. The transcript is spliced from 2 exons. Lineage: Eukaryota; Viridiplantae; Streptophyta; Magnoliopsida; Fabales; Fabaceae.
UCUUUUCUCACUCUAUAAAGCGAUCAAAUGAUUCCUAUUUCUAGAUUCAUAAAAGAAAAAAUAUGGUUAAGGUUUAUAUGUAUAUUUAUGCUAUGAUUAUGUUUUUUUCCGUAUUCAUUACUAUAACUAGUGGGAUACCCUGCGAAAUUAAUUCUGAUUGUCGAGAUCAUGUGUGUAGUGAACCUGACAUUCCAGUAUGUGGGUUUCUGUCUCCGGUUUCACCCGGAAUAGGGACUUGUGGAUGUUACAAGUAUAGCACAUUGGAAAUUAUAUAUCCGGAAUAGGGACUUGAGGAUGUUUCCAGUAAAGCACAUUGGAAAUUAUAUAUUAACAAUGGCUUUUGAAUGUGUGAACAAGCCGUAAAAUUAAUUAUUAAAAAUAAUUAUAUUGAUGUUUUUAUGAUUUAUUAGUAUAAUAACUGUGCCUCUAGGCAAAUAUUGUGUGUAGCAUGAAAUUAGUCUUGUUAUAUUAUUGGUUGGUAUAAAGAUUGUUGCCUCGUGUCUAAUAGUUAUAAUUGUAAUAUUUAUUAUUGACAAUUUAUUUAUAUGAAUAAUACCGAACUUGUUGGGUGAUA